Molecule: long non-coding RNA, 236 nt
Organism: Hipposideros armiger (great roundleaf bat)
Lineage: Eukaryota; Metazoa; Chordata; Mammalia; Chiroptera; Hipposideridae
Exons: 3
Source: RefSeq, a predicted model, not a curated record
GCAAACAACUACCCUUGUGAAUGUAAAGAAGCUGUGCAAGGAGUAACAAUUGCCUGAGACAACUGUCUGUGAAGAAUAUUGUCAGAAAUUCUGAACUUCCCCAGCGCUUUGGCAAAGAAGUCCAGAGAUUAUUAUUGGAGGCUGCAUUGUGCCAGAGAUUGAAUAAAGCUCUGAGAGCCCCAUCGUAGAGGAAGACACACACGCCGACUCACAUACGCUCACACUCUGCUUUCUCC